RNAcentral lists this ribosomal RNA (430 nucleotides) under uncultured bacterium. RNAcentral describes it as "bacterial SSU rRNA". It matches the Rfam family "Bacterial small subunit ribosomal RNA", at positions 354 to 776 of the family's 1533-position model. The record is from RNAcentral.
GUGGGGAAUAUUGGACAAUGGGGGCAACCCUGAUCCAGCCAUGCCGCGUGUGUGAAGAAGGCCUUCGGGUUGUAAAGCACUUUAAGUUGGGAAGAAGGCUCGCUGGCUAAUAUCCAGCGGGAUUGACAUUACCAACAGAAUAAGCACCGGCUAACUCCGUGCCAGCAGCCGCGGUAAUACGGAGGGUGCAAGCGUUAAUCGGAAUUACUGGGCGUAAAGCGCACGUAGGUGGCUGCUUAAGUCGGAUGUGAAAGCCCUGGGCUCAACCUGGGAAUUGCAUUUGAUACUGAGCGGCUAGAGUACGAUAGAGGGAGGUAGAAUUCCACGUGUAGCGGUGAAAUGCGUAGAUAUGUGGAGGAAUACCGGUGGCGAAGGCGGCCUCCUGGAUUGAUACUGACACUGAGGUGCGAAAGCGUGGGGAGCAAACAGG